GAAUGGGGAAACCCAGCAUGAGUUAUGUCAUGUUAUCGAUAUGUGAAUACAUAGCAUAUCAGAAGGCACACCCGGAGAACUGAAACAUCUUAGUACCCGGAGGAAGAGAAAGAAAAUUCGAUUCCCUUAGUAGCGGCGAGCGAAACGGGAAGAGCCCAAACCAAAAAGCUUGCUUGUUGGGGUUGUAGGACACUCUAUACGGAGUUACAAAGGACGACAUUAGACGAAUCAUCUGGAAAGAUGAAUCAAAGAAGGUAAUAAUCCUGUAGUCGAAAAUGUUGUCUCUCUUGAGUGGAUCCUGAGUACGACGGAGCACGUGAAAUUCCGUCGGAAUCUGGGAGGACCAUCUCCUAAGGCUAAAUACUCUCUAGUGACCGAUAGUGAACCAGUACCGUGAGGGAAAGGUGAAAAGCACCCCGGAAGGAGAGUGAAAUAGAACCUGAAACCGUGUGCUUACAAGUAGUCAGAGCCCGUUAAUGGG
Molecule: ribosomal RNA, 481 nt
Filed under: Streptomyces malaysiensis subsp. malaysiensis
Lineage: Bacteria; Bacillati; Actinomycetota; Actinomycetes; Kitasatosporales; Streptomycetaceae
Description: partial 23S ribosomal RNA
Rfam family: Bacterial large subunit ribosomal RNA
Source: RNAcentral